UACGUAGGGGGCGAGCGUUGUCCGGAUUUAUUGGGCGUAAAGAGCUCGUAGGCGGUUUGGUAAGUCGGGUGUGAAAUCUCCACGCUCAACGUGGAGGGGCCACUCGAUACUGCCAUGACUCGAGUCCGGUAGAGGAGUGUGGAAUUCCCGGUGUAGCGGUGAAAUGCGCAGAUAUCGGGAGGAACACCCGUAGCGAAGGCGGCACUCUGGGCCUUACCUGACACUGAGGAGCGAAAGCGUGGGGAGCGAACAGG
RNAcentral lists this ribosomal RNA (254 nucleotides) under uncultured bacterium. RNAcentral's name for it is "partial 16S ribosomal RNA". It matches the Rfam family "Bacterial small subunit ribosomal RNA", at positions 524 to 776 of the family's 1533-position model. The record is from RNAcentral.